GAAAUAUGGAUAGGUGUCAAAUAGUCCUGUUUCCUUGUUUUGCCAUCCUGAAGUUCAACUUCAAGUCAUCAAUUGGCUGAUAUGUUGAUUUUGCUGAAAGCCUUGGCUGCACUAACCGUCUCGAUUGGCUGGGGCUUGUUGUUAAUCAAAGCUCUGAAUGUAUUCUUUGUUCUCAUUGAUUCUAGAUCUGUGCUGUACUAAACAGUAGCCAUGAUCCACAUGUGACUCUUUAAAUGAAUUUAGUUAACUAAUACUAAAAUUUAACUUUUCUAACAUAGAAAGAGUCAAAAUCAUCAAAACAUAGAGACCACGAAUAAAAUGGUGAUUGUCAAAGGCUUUGGGGAGGGAGAUAUCAACACUUGGUUUUUAAUAGACACAAAGUUGCUUAUGUAAGAUAACAAUGGUCUAGAGUUCUACUAUGCACCAUGCUGCUUGUGGUUAGCAAUACUGUACAAUUAAAAAUUUGUAAAAGGGUAGAGGUCAUGUUCUUACCUAAAGAAGAGGAAGAAAUCCAAUUCCUCAGUCACUCUAGCCAACUUUCAAGUGCUCAGUACCCAGAGGUGACUAUGACUACCACAUACACAGAGCAUUCCCAUCAUUACAGAAACUUCUCUCAGAUACUGUUACUGACAUGGGUCCCAGGACUCAAUAACAAUAGAAAUCGACAGGAAACCAGAAGAAGAAUUCAGGAAAGGCUUUACUGGGAUUUGUGCUACAACACGAGGAAGCAAAAACAAGCAAUAGGUCCUGAGAAGAGGACUGAUCCUGAAGCUGAAGCUUCAAUACCUUGACCUUCUUAUGCCAGGAGAUGACUAAUUGGAAAAGACCUUUGUGCUGGCAAAGAUUGAAGGCAAAAGGAGAAAAGAUCAGCAGAGGAUGAGAUGAUUAGACAGCAUCACUGACUCAAGGCACAUGAAUUUGAUCAACUCUCGAAGAUACUGAACGACAGGGAAGUGUGGUGUGCUGCCAUGCAUAGGGUCACAAAGAAUUGGACAUGACUUAGCAACUGAACAACAAGUCUUACAUCUAAAGUCAUAAAUGCUAUUCUCAUUUCAUUGUUUUUAACCUAAGAAUUACUGGGCAAUGUUUCUAUGAUGCUUCUUUCUAAAUUACAGCUGUUGAGCUCCAUAAUGUUUUGUUUUACCCUAUUUCUUGGUAUUAUUCUACUGUCUCAAAAUUUCCUUCCUCAUUUCUGUUAUUGAAUAAAAGCUCUUUUUCUGGAAACUUGGUUCAUUUUUUAGAUAGAUAUGAUUACUUAGCAC
Molecule: long non-coding RNA, 1262 nt
Filed under: Ovis aries (sheep)
Lineage: Eukaryota; Metazoa; Chordata; Mammalia; Artiodactyla; Bovidae
Description: lncRNA (ENSOARG00000026277.1)
Source: RNAcentral